AAGUCAUGGAGAGACUAAAUUGUCACAUCGAGAAAAUAUCCUUCCUCAGUGACAAGAUAGUAGAGAAACAGCACUGUUCUUCCUGAUUAUUAUUUACAUCUGGAUAAUCUCUGAGUUUUCUCCGUGUAGGCUUCUUACACAAAGGCAGAAGCGCGUGGAUUAAUACAAAUACUAAACUAGUUGGGGGAACAGAGAACGUGAAAAUGGACGAGAAGCCUCAAGUGGAGAGAUAGAGAGAGAGACUGGACCAGUCUGGAGAGGCUGAGAACAAUGCUGCUGUAGUGGCCACAACAUCAGCGUUGGGUGGAGAAAGCUGAGAUCCUGGAACACAGUGUUCUCUUUCUCCAGAAUGCUGGCAAUGGGGACAGGAAGAAAGCUGAAGGUGAGGAGCAUCGAGGUCGCGUCUUAAGCUCAACUUGCUGUCCGGCACAAUACGCCACCAGUCCUUACCCAUCAUGAAGAUACAGGAAUCCCGUUACAGACAGCAGCUUUGUGCAGUCAGGUUAAAUCAUCCUUACAGAGCUCUGCUCCGACAUGGAGCAACGCUCCCCAGCUGCACCACAGACACGCUGCCAAAGAAUCCCAAUCUCAGAACCUCUCAGCCAGCCAGUCUAUGUGGAGGCCGUGGCUCUGAUCUACCACAGGAUAUUGAACUGUAAACAACUGCCACAUCCGUUGCUGCUGAGACUGCUACGGAGUCAUACAUUUAUGUAGUGUUGUGAACACUGAACUCAUGGGCUCCAUAGAUUUGCAGUGAUCUGACCGUAUUUUAGCUAUACAGCACAGCAGAAUAUAUCCGUAAUUAUUGCACAAUUACUUCGACUUUGCCAUCACUACAUCUGCUGAUGUAAAAAGGUCUUUAUAAAUACAUUUGAUUAGAUGAUUACAACAUGUACUAUGUAUAACUUGUAGUACGAGAUGGGCAGUAUUUCUGUUACAUGUAUUUGAAAAAUGUAUUUCAAUUACUUCUGAGUUUUGUAUUACAUGGGGCUGAACAACACUUCAAUGUAUUUUGUAACCAGAUCAAAUCGAGAACUCAUUUGUAUUUACAAAACACUUUUCUAUACCAUUUGUUUUUUUUAUACUGAUUCACCAUUUUGUGGCCCCCUUUCACCCUGCAUUGGUAUCAGAAGUCUGAUGGCACUAUGGUGUGAUAAGAGCAUAUUUAGUCAGUGCAUUUGUUUUCGCACCAAAGUACGUUCAUCUCUAGGAGACAGAACGUGUCUCCUUCCUGAGCGGUAUGACGGCAGUGUGGUCCCAUGGUGUUUAUACUUGCGUACUAUUGUUUGUACAGAUGAAUGUGGUACAUUCAGGCGUUUGAAAACAGCUCCCAAGGAUGAACCAGACUUAUGGAGGUCUACAAUUUUUUUAUUUCUUAGGUCUUGGCUGAUUUCUUUUGAUUUUCCCAUGACGUCAAGCAAAGAGGCACUGAGUUUCAAGGUAGGCCUUGAAAUACAUCCACAGGUAGACCUACAAUUGACUCAAAUGAUGUCAAUUAGCCUAUCAGAAGCUUCUAAAGCCAUGACAUUUUCUGGAAUUUUCCAAGCCGUUUAAAGGCACAGUCAACUUAGUGUUUGUAAAUUUCUGACCCACUGGAAUUGUAAUACAGUGAAAUAAUCUGUAAACAAUUGUUGUAAAAAUGACUUAUGUUAUGAACAAAGUAGAUGUCCUAACCGACUUGCCAAAACUAUAGAAAUUUGUGGAGUGGUUGGAAAAACAACUUUUAAUGGUUCCAACCUACGUGUAUGUAAACCUCAACUGUAAACUUCGAUUGUAGAAUAAAAAAACAAACAUAUUACAGUUAUAGCAAGUAAAAUGUUUCUGUUUCUGAUUGGGCUGAAUACUUGCAAAUGUAUUUAUGUGUUAUAAAAUAGAAAAGGCAUGUAUUUUAUAGUUUCUUUUUGAUACACUGAUCUUUAUGGUAUUUACGACCAACCUUGAAUUGAGAAGGAAGAUAGUAUUGCCAAGUUAAGGGGUCUCCGGUACUUUUGUAUACUUGUUGCAGGUGGUUCGUUAUUAAUUUAUUAAAUGCUCCUUUAGUCACAUAAAUACAAAGCCAAAAUUGGCCCCGGAGAGUUGCUUUCUACAUCGCAUAAGUGCAGAUAUGUGCCCCAUGUCAUUGCUCUCUCACUCUACUGUGUGUAAUUCUUGCUAGCUGUUACUCAGAUGUGGUGGGGCUGAAUCUCAUUAGCUGGAACUCGAAUUGCUAGUGGGCUGGCCCACGUGGGCAGGGGUGGACAUAAAUGACAAAAUAUAACUACAUAAUGCCCUAAAAACAACUGUUUUAAAUUAAAAUAUAAUGUACUUUUGCAAAGUAUUGUAUUUUAAAAUAGAAAAAUACAUUUGCAAGUAGCCGGCUGAAGAGCAACAACAUUUUCAGUAACAGUUACAGAAAGGUCUUACUUGCUAUGACUCUGAUAUGCUGUUUUUUUAUAUACCUUAGUUUUGAAUGCACUGUCACUCUGGACAAGGGUGUCUGCUAAAUGACCAAAAUAUAAAUGUACUGUAUAUGUGAAAAUGGACAACUGCAAAGCACACUGGGUAUUUUUAUUGGCCUUGUUUUGGGGCAGAGCUCAUUCGAGUAAUACUUGCAAUUUUUCAUUUUUACAUAUACAUUUACAUUUAAUGAAUGUAGCAGACGCUCCUAUCACACCAUAAUGCAAUCAGACUUUUGAUACCAACGUAGGGUGAAAGGGGGCCACAAUUGUGAACCGCUAUAAAGAAAUUGUAUGGAAAAUGAUUUUCUAUACCAUUAUCAGCCCAGUGAAAUAAAAAUACUCAGAGGUAAUUUAAAUACAUAUUUAAAAAAUACUGCCCAUUUCUGCAUAUGGGGGGAAAUGUAGGGAAAAUGGUGCCCAUUUCUGCAUAUGGGAGGAAAUUGGUUGGUUGAAAAUUCUCUGUACUACGCCAAACAUUAGCCUACCUAUCCUGUAAGUGUAACAGGUAGCCUAGUGGAGAAGCACAUUAGCCUGUUACAAAUCUGUAGCUAAGUUAAAGUCAGUCAUCAUACUCACCAUUUGACAUUGACAAGAUAAUGAAAUCAUCUGGUUUGGCUGAUUCCAGGAGAACGCUAUCUCCCCGAAUGCAUAGUGCCAACUGUAAAGUUUGGUGGACGAGGAAUAAUGGUCUGGGAAAUCUUAACGCUACAGCAUACAUUAUAGACGAUUCUGUGCUUCCAACGUAGUGGCAACAGUUUUUCCCCAAAGCCUUUUCCAGUUUCAGCAUGACAAUGCCCCCGUGCACAAAGCGAGGUCCAUACAUAAAUGUUUUGUCAAGAUCGGUGUGGAAGAUUUUUUUAUUUUUUUUAUUUCAUUUUUACCCCUUUUUUCUCCCCAAUUUCGUGGUAUCCAAUUGUUGUAGUAGCUACUGACUUGUCUCAUCGCUACAACUCCCGUACGGGCUCGGGAGAGACGAAGGUUGAAAGUCAUGCGUCCUCCGAUACACAACCCAACCAGCCGUACUGUUUCUUAACACAGCGCACAUCCAACCCGGGAGCCAGCCACACCAAUGUGCCGGAGGAAGCACAGUGUACCUGGCAACCUUGGUUAGCGCUCACUGCGCCCGGCCCGCCACAGGAGUCGCUGGUGUGUGAUGAGACAAGGACAUCCCUACCGACCAAGCCCUCCCUAACCCGGACGACGCUAGGCCAAUUGUGCGUCGCCCCACGGACCUCCCGGUCGCGGCCGGUUACGACAGAGCCAGACCCAGGGACUCUGAUGGCACAGCUGGCGCUGCAGUACAGCGCCCUUAACCACUGCGCCACCCGGGAGGCGGUGUGGAAGAACUUGACUGGCCUACACAGAGCCCUGACCUCAACCCCAUCGAACACCUUUGGGAUGAAUUGCAAUGCCAACUGUGAGCCAGGCCUAAUUGCCCAACAUCAGUGCCUGACCUCACUAAUGCUCUUCUGGCUGAAUGGAAGCAAGACCCACAGCAAUGUUCCAACAUCUAGUGAAAGCCUUCCCAGAAGAGUGUUAAAGCAGCAAAGGGGGGACCAACUUCAUAUUAAUGCCCAUGAUUUUGGAAUGAGAUGUUCGACGAACAGGCGUCCACACACUUUUGGUCAUGAAAUGUAUGUUGUCUGGCUACCAAUGUUUUAACUUGUUUUGUACAGUAGGGGCUAUCUCACAUGGAGUUAGGCUAUAGGUCACUGGUCACAUGGUACACAUGUGACCAGCAAGUGUUAGCACAGGUACAAACAAACAAAAAUAACUGUAGCCUAGGCAACUUUCUAAUGGCAGGCACUGAGCAUGGCCAACCCGUUUCUUGGUUUCUGGUAUAUCGUCAAAAUAAAACGUUUUUGGACUCAUUCAGCAGUUGUUACCUGAUUAAGUACAAUACCAUUGGAAAUUAAUGUUGAAAGUUCAAAUUAAACUCCUAAAAAUUAAGUUGAAAAUUAUGC
Oncorhynchus keta (chum salmon) is the source of this 4402-nucleotide long non-coding RNA. RefSeq lists it as uncharacterized. NCBI's taxonomy places the organism in Eukaryota, Metazoa, Chordata, Actinopteri, Salmoniformes, Salmonidae. The transcript is spliced from 3 exons. The record is from RefSeq and is a predicted model, not a curated record.